RNAcentral lists this ribosomal RNA (480 nucleotides) under uncultured bacterium. Its description in RNAcentral is "SSU rRNA". It matches the Rfam family "Bacterial small subunit ribosomal RNA", at positions 26 to 523 of the family's 1533-position model. The record is from RNAcentral.
AGGACGAACGCUGGCGGCGUGCUUAACACAUGCAAGUCGAACGGAAAGGCCCUUCGGGGUACUCGAGUGGCGAACGGGUGAGUAACACGUGAGCAAUCUGCCCCUAGCUCUGGGAUAGCUCCGGGAAAACCGGGAUUAAUACCAGAUAUUACUACGGCCGACAUCAGCUGUGGUGGAAAGAAUUUCGGCUAGGGAUGAGCUCGCGGCCUAUCAGCUUGUUGGUGGGGUAAAGGCCCACCAAGGCGACGACGGGUAGCCGGCCUGAGAGGGCGACCGGCCACACUGGGACUGAGACACGGCCCAGACUCCUACGGGAGGCAGCAGUGGGGAAUAUUGCGCAAUGGGCGAAAGCCUGACGCAGCGACGCCGCGUGCGGGAUGAAGGCCUUCGGGUUGUAAACCGCUUUCAGCAGGGACGAAGCGAAAGUGACGGUACCUGCAGAAGAAGCGCCGGCUAACUACGCGCCAGCAGCCGCGGUAA